UGAAUACGAGACGCUACGGCGUUGAAGCAGUGUAUGUCAUACUUCCAAGAAAAGCUCGCAAGGUCAUAAACAAAUAAUGCCUGUACCAUAACCGACACAGGUGGGUAGGUAGAGUAUACUAAGGGGCGCGAGAUAACUCUCUCUAAGGAACUCGGCAAAAUGACUCCGUAACUUCGGGAGAAGGAGUGCCUUAUUCUAUAAGGUUGCAAUAACAAGAUCCAAGCAACUGUUUAUCAAAAACACAGGUCUCCGCUAAGUCGUAAGACGAUGUAUGGGGGCUGACGCCUGCCCAGUGCCAGAAGGUUAAAGAAGUUGGUUAGCAAUUGCGAAGCUGAUAACUGAAGCCCUGGUGAACGGCGGCCGUAACUAUAACGGUCCUAAGGUAGCGAAAUUCCUUGUCGGGUAAGUUCCGACCCGCACGAAAGGCGUAAUGAUUUGGAUACUGUCUCAGAGAGGGGCUCGGUGAAAUAGACUUGUCUGUGAAGAUGCGGACUACCUGCACCUGGACAGAAAGACCCUAUGAAGCUUUACUGUAACUUGAAAUUGAAACUGGACUUUACUUGCGCAGGAUAGGUGGGAGGCGUUGAGAGUAUUCUUGCGGGAAUAUUGGAGCCAUCGGUGAGAUACCACUCUUGUAAUGUUAGGUUUCUAACUUGGUAUCAUGAUCUGGUCCAAGAACAGUUUCAGGCGGGCAGUUUGACUGGGGCGGUCGCCUCCUAAACGGUAACGGAGGCGUACAAAGGUUUCCUCUGAACGGGUAGAAAUCGUAUCUAGAGUGUAAAGGCAUAAGGAAGCUUGACUGUGAGACCUACAAGUCGAGCAGGGACGAAAGUCGGUCUUAGUGAUCUGACGGUGCUGAGUGGAAAGGCCGUCACUCAACGGAUAAAAGUUACUCUAGGAUAACAGGCUGAUCUCCCCCAAGAGUUCACAUCGACGGGGAGGUUUGGCACCUCGAUGUCGGCUCAUCGCAUCCUGGGGCGGUAGUACGUCCCAAGGGUUGGGCUGUUCGCCCAUGAAAGCGGUACGCGAGCUGGGUUCAGAACGUCGUGAGACAGUUCGGUCCAUAUCCGGUGUAGGCGUUAGAAUAUUGAGAGGAGCCUUCUUUAGUACGAGAGGACCGAGAAGGACACACCUAUGGUGUACCAGUUAUCGCGCCAACGGUAAACGCUGGGUAGCUAUGUGUGGAGUGGAUAACCGCUGAAAGCAUCUAAGUGGGAAGCCCACCUCAAGAUUAGUAUUCUCAUC
This 1245-nucleotide ribosomal RNA is filed under the name metagenome. RNAcentral describes it as "bacterial LSU rRNA". It matches the Rfam family "Bacterial large subunit ribosomal RNA", at positions 1564 to 2818 of the family's 2925-position model. The record is from RNAcentral.